Molecule: ribosomal RNA, 500 nt
Filed under: uncultured bacterium
Lineage: Bacteria
Description: partial 16S ribosomal RNA
Rfam family: Bacterial small subunit ribosomal RNA
Source: RNAcentral
GGGGAAGGGUAGCUUGCUACCUGACCUAGCGGCGGACGGGUGAGUAAUGCUUAGGAAUCUGCCUAUUAGUGGGGGACAACAUUCCGAAAGGAAUGCUAAUACCGCAUACGCCCUACGGGGGAAAGCAGGGGGAUCUUCGGACCUUGCGCUAAUAGAUGAGCCCUAAGUCAGAUUAGCCUAGUUGGUGGGGUAAAGGCCUACCAAGGCGACGAUCUUGUAGCCGGGUCUGAGAGGAUGAUCCCCCACACUUGGGACUGAGACCCCGGCCCAAAACUUCCUACCGGGAGGCAAGCAGGGGGGGGAAAAUUGGACAAUGGGGCGAAAGCCCUGAUCCAACCCUUGCCCCGUGGGGGAAACAAAGCCUUUUGGGUUGUAAAAGCACCUUUAAGCCAAGGAGGAGGCCCCUGAAAAAAAAACCCUUUGGGAAAGGGGGCCCUUCCCCCCAAAAAAAACACCCCGUUUAAUUUUUGGGCCCAACCCCCGGGUAAAAACAAAGGGGC